GGUGGGUUGCCCGAGCGGCCUAAGGGAACGGUCUUGAAAAACGUGAGGACGUGAAAGCGUCCCCGUGGGCUCGAAUCCCACCACCUCCG
RNAcentral lists this transfer RNA (89 nucleotides) under Streptomyces marianii. RNAcentral describes it as "Streptomyces sp. ICN19 tRNA-Ser". It matches the Rfam family "tRNA". From Rfam's summary of the family: Transfer RNA (tRNA) molecules are approximately 80 nucleotides in length. The record is from RNAcentral. Lineage: Bacteria; Bacillati; Actinomycetota; Actinomycetes; Kitasatosporales; Streptomycetaceae.